Molecule: transfer RNA, 83 nt
Filed under: Panus rudis PR-1116 ss-1
Lineage: Eukaryota; Fungi; Basidiomycota; Agaricomycetes; Polyporales; Panaceae
Description: tRNA-Phe
Rfam family: tRNA
About the family: Transfer RNA (tRNA) molecules are approximately 80 nucleotides in length. Their secondary structure includes four short double-helical elements and three loops (D, anti-codon, and T loops).
Source: RNAcentral
GCCGGGAUAGCUCAGCUGGGAGAGCAACAGACUGAAGCCUAUCGGUUUUCUGGAGGUCCCGUGUUCAAUCCACGGUCCUGGCA